Molecule: long non-coding RNA, 213 nt
Filed under: Elaeis guineensis (African oil palm)
Lineage: Eukaryota; Viridiplantae; Streptophyta; Magnoliopsida; Arecales; Arecaceae
Description: long non-coding RNA (EGUI_LNC031935)
Source: RNAcentral
GGUAUCUGCCCGUCUUUACAUAUGCAUCAUAGGUGAUGAAGAUGUCGACAAAACAUGACUCUUAAUUGAUAUAGACCUAGGAGAAGGACAACAACUCUUUGUACCUUCAUAAAUCUAUUGUAGUUAUUAUUAAAGAGGCAAUACUAACUUAUAUGAUCAAAUUAGUUAGCCAAUAAUUUUAAUUAAGAGUCCUAUUGCUGUUCAUUUUUGUUG